This 468-nucleotide ribosomal RNA is filed under the name uncultured bacterium. RNAcentral describes it as "partial 16S ribosomal RNA". It matches the Rfam family "Bacterial small subunit ribosomal RNA", at positions 28 to 507 of the family's 1533-position model. The record is from RNAcentral.
GACGAACGCUGGCGGCGUGCUUAACACAUGCAAGUCGAACGGAAAGGCCCUGCUUUUGUGGGGUGCUCGAGUGGCGAACGGGUGAGUAACACGUGAGUAACCUGCCCUUGACUUUGGGAUAACUUCAGGAAACUGGGGCUAAUACCGGAUAGGAGCUCCUGCUGCAUGGUGGGGGUUGGAAAGUUUCGGCGGUUGGGGAUGGACUCGCGGCUUAUCAGCUUGUUGGUGGGGUAGUGGCUUACCAAGGCUUUGACGGGUAGCCGGCCUGAGAGGGUGACCGGACACAUUGGGACUGAGAUACGGCCCAGACUCCUAUGGGAGGCAGCAGUGGGGAAUAUUGCACAAGGGGCGGAAGCCUGAUGCAGCAACGCCGCGUGCGGGAUGACGGCCUUCGGGUUGUAAACCGCUUUCGCCUGUGACGAAGCGUGAGUGACGGUAAUGGGUAAAGAAGCACCGGCUAACUACGUG